RNAcentral lists this transfer RNA (76 nucleotides) under Desulfovibrio piger. Its description in RNAcentral is "tRNA-OTHER". The record is from RNAcentral. Lineage: Bacteria; Pseudomonadati; Thermodesulfobacteriota; Desulfovibrionia; Desulfovibrionales; Desulfovibrionaceae.
GCCGAAGUGGUGGAAUUGGUAGUCAGGGUCUAGUUCUGGCAACGGAGUGGGAGUUCGACUCUCCCCUUCGGCACCA